AUGGGGGAGCAGCGGGAGGCUUCGGCUUCGGCGGCGGCGGUAGCGCACAGCAGCAACAUGCAGCGUGUGAAAGUGUACCGUUUGAGGGAUGGAGGCAAAUGGGAUGAUCAGGGCACAGGGCACGUUGCUGUUGACUACAUCGAGGGUUCAAAAGAACCUGGUUUGACUGUUUUGGAUGAAGAAGACAACGAAACACUGCUUGUCCACAAUAUUACAUCUGAAGAUAUCUACAGAAAGCAAGAAGAAACAAUCAUCUCAUGGAGGGAUCCAGAAGCAGCAACAGAAUUAGCAUUGAGCUUUCAGGAGGCUGCAGGGUGCUCCUACAUAUGGGACAACAUCUGUGAUAUUCAGAGAAACCUUCAGUUUAGUAACCUUGGCGGUCUUGAAGUUUGUCCUCGUCCAGCUUCGGAACAUCUAGAAGCCUCUAGAGUAUUGCAUUCACACGAUGAGUCCUUUCGCUCUGUUAACGGUGAACUGAGGGAACUUCCACCUGUUGAUUUGUCCAAUCUUCCUUUGAUUUUGAAGACUAUAUUGGAGGGUGGCAUUACUGAUCAAAUGCGCGUGGCCGAGUUGAUAACACAAGAUCGUGAUUUUUUCCCCAAGCUGCUGGAUAUUUUUAGAAUGUGUGAGGAUUUAGAGAAUUUAGAUGAUCUCCACAUGAUAUUCAAAUUAGUCAGGGGAAUCAUAUUGCUGAACAGCCCAUCGAUCUUUGAUAAGAUAUUCUCUGAUGAGCUUAUUCUUGACAUCAUAGGCGCCCUUGAAUAUGAUCCAGAGGUUGCUAAAGUGCAAAAGCAUCGCAUUUUUCUGAAGGAUCAUGUAGUUUUCAAAGAGGCCAUACCUAUUAAAAAUAUUUCUGUGGUUUCAAGGAUACAUCAAACGUACAGAAUAGGGUAUCUAAAGGAUGUUAUAUUACCCAGAAUAUUAGAUGAUGCCACUCUGGCUAGUCUUAACACGAUGAUACACACGAACAAUGCUGCUGUUAUUUCCUUACUGAAGGAUGAUGCUUGCUUUAUCCAAGACUUAUUCUCUAGGAUGAGAUCACCAAAUAUUUCUAUGGAAUUGAAAAGAGAAUUGGUCCUGUUCUUGCAUGAGUUCUGCACUCUUAGUAAGAGUUUGCCGCUUGUACAACAACUACGACUGUUUCGGGAUCUUUCAGGUGAAGGUGUAUUUGAAAUUGUAUCUGAUGUGUUGCAGAGUCAAGACAGAAAAAUUGUUUCGGCUGGGACGGAUAUCGUUAUUCUUUUUCUUAAUCAGGACCCUAACCUAUUGAGGUCAUAUAUUGUCCAGCAAGAAGGAAAUUCUCUUCUUGGACUUUUGGUUAAAGGAAUGGUAACUGACUUUGGUGAGCAAAUGCACUGUCAAUUUCUGGAAAUCCUCCGUAUAUUAAUGGAUUCUUUCACUAUGUCUGGAGCACAUAGAGACGUAAUUAUUGAGAUUUUCUAUGAAAGGCACCUUGACUAUUUGGUUGAUGUAAUAGCAUCCUCUUGUCCUUCGAGGAGUGCUACCCGAACAUCACCUAACUCAGCUGUCGUUGGUGGAAACACUGAAGAGCAUCGUAUCAAGCCAGAAAUUCUGUUAAAUGUCUGCGAACUAUUAUGCUUUUGUGUAGUCCAUCAUCCCUAUAGAAUUAAGUGCAACUUCCUUAUGAACAAUGCGAUAGAGAAAAUCCUUACCAUGACUCGACGAAGUGAGAAGUUUUUGGUUGUUGCAGCUGUCAGGUUUAUGCGCACUAUUAUAUCCAGAAAUGAUGAACAUCUUAUUCGCCAUGUUGUCAAGUUUAACUUGUUGAAACCAAUAAUUGACGCCUUUGUGGAAAAUGGGGAUAGAUAUAACAUGCUACAAUCUGGAGUACUCGAACUGUUGGAACACAUACGGAAGGAAAAUCUAAAACCUCUUGUUAUUUAUGUUACCGAGUCUUUCUCAGAUCAACUUAUGAAGUUUGAACACUUUGGGAGCAUUCAGGCCUUCAAACUCAAGUAUCAACAGUACUUGGAGAGUGCCGAUAUGAAAUUAAGUGCUAGUGUGCCUGACAUGAGAAAGAAGGCAGAAGGAAGAGGUCUUGAGAAGGAAGAGGAAGAUUAUUUCAACGAGAGUGACGAGGAAGAUUCAGUAAGGCGGACUAAACAUGCACACGGUGAACAUAAUGAAGAAAGCAAGGAUGAUGUAGCCAAUGGAAGCGAAACUGAUGACAUAUCCUCAAGGCCUAAAUCUGGUGGGCUUGUGGACUAUGCCGAUGACGACGACGAGGAUUUCAAUCCGCCACCCAAGGAGCCUGAUAGGCCUGUGGAUGACGAUGAGCUCUUAACUAUAUCCACAGUGAAGCGGAAAUUAGUGAACCCGGGGGAUGGCAAACAUGCAGAUGGGGAAGUUCGCAAGAGACAAAAGAUUGAAACAAGGAUUACUUGUGCCAAGAUUUCUGCUUUGACUAAUCUGGCUAGCAAACACAAGGAUACACUUGCCUCAAGCUCGCCAAGUUGCGAGGCCAAUGGUGUUUUGGGGGAGCAUGCUACACAUUCUGAUGAGCAUCAACAUUCCACAGACACUGCAGAAACCUCACGGCAAGUUGGCGGUGAUUGUAUCAAAGCAAUGGGCAGUUUGUCUAGUGAGAAGGCUGUAAAUACCACCAAAACAAACGAUUCAGAGCCCUAUUCAGUGAGAUGA
This 2661-nucleotide ribosomal RNA is filed under the name Triticum aestivum (bread wheat). RNAcentral's name for it is "partial small subunit ribosomal RNA". Lineage: Eukaryota; Viridiplantae; Streptophyta; Magnoliopsida; Poales; Poaceae. The record is from RNAcentral.